This is a long non-coding RNA of Musa acuminata AAA Group (dessert banana), 1847 nucleotides long. RefSeq lists it as uncharacterized. The transcript has 4 exons. The record is from RefSeq and is a predicted model, not a curated record. Lineage: Eukaryota; Viridiplantae; Streptophyta; Magnoliopsida; Zingiberales; Musaceae.
AGGUGGCUAUCAAAUCACAGUUGGGCAGUAUAACCAUAAAGCAGCGGUCAAUGCGCGAAAAGGAGGCGUCGGUCUGUUGCGUUCCCUACACCGAGUGGCUGUGGAAGAAGCCCGUCCGAUUCUGGUUUAUUAUCCUCUUGCUCCUUAGCCCAGUCGAUUUUACGUUUCUCGACCUCCGUUGUUCUUGAUUUCUCCACCCGGUCUCUGAAAACUUUCCAUCUUCUGGUGAAUUCUGGGGACUCACAAGUGUGGAUCGACCGCAAGGCGAGAAAAGUUGCGAUCUUGGUUGCUGGGGGACUCCUUUUCUUCGCCUUUUCUCUUUUCUUUGGCAGUAUCUCCACCCAGAUGCCAUUCUUCUGCUUUUCCUGGAGUUCUCCUUUCCGUGUGGCUUAGAGCGAUCCCAAAAUUGCAGCAGAAUCCUAUCUUCAUUCCGGAUUUGGUGUUCUGGAUUCUGGAGUUUCAUUCCCUAGGGGUAAGGUUGCUCCUUGCUUCGGAUUCCAACCCUUUAUGAUCUUUUUCCAGUCCGAUGCCGAGUUUAUUGUGAGGUUACCAUCGAGGAAGUUGCUGCUGGUUUUGAUCGAAAGUUUCUGAGUUUUGAGAGCAAUUUUUGUCGGGAAGUUCCCCUUUUGGUUCGUCAAAUGGGCUUUCGAUGGUUGUGAUCUGACAUGAGGGUUUUAUCCUGCGAUUGCCACUAUACGCUCGUCUGCUGCUCGAGGUCGUCGGUCCGCUGUUACCCGCCUUGCCCUCCGAAGUCGCAAUGGGCAGAUGCCAAAAACGUUGCCCCGACCGAAGCUCCAGUUUCUGUUGUGUUGGAGGAGAAGCCUUCUGAAGAAAAGGUUGUGGUUGAGCAGAACACUGAGGAGGAUGGGAAAGUUGAGAUCUCUCUGAAGAGCAGCCUAAAGAAGCCAAGAGCAUCAGAUUCAGAACAGGUCGAAAAGAGAAACGUUAAAUGGAUGGACUUGUUGGGGAAGGAACUUCUUGAGAUCAGGGAAUUUGAGACAAUUGAAUCUGAAGAAUCAGAGGGUUAUGCUGAUGGCAACACAACAUGCAUUUGUGUCAUUCAAUGACAAUCAUUUACUUGUGACGGAGAACAAAUAGUGAUUAUUAAUUAUCCAGCUGCUAUGAACCUCAGCUCGAGGUUAUAGUUCUGCCAUCGAGAAUUUGCAAUGAGAAUUGAUCGAGCCAUCAAGCAUCCAGCUUUCCUUCUCCUUCAGAAUUCCCUUCACAUUUAGAAGAAAUACAUCGAAGUCAAAGUUAUGCAGAUGUAGUUCGGCUCAUCGUCAUCCAGCUCUGGAGUUGCACGUAGGAGGAACAGAUACUGAUAAAAAAGAGCAGCCAAUACCAACAGUUAACAAGCAACCUUCAAUUCCUGAAGAUGGUUAUGAGUGGAACAAGUAUGGCCAAAAAUACAUCAAAAACAUUAGGAAGAUCAGUGCAGAAGCUACUACAGAUGCCGGCGGAAAGAGUGCAACGCAAGGAAGAGGCUGGAAUGGUCUCCUGCUAACCCAACCAUCUUGAGAGUUAUCUACGACGGAAUGCAUGAUCACCGGUCUCCUUCGGAUGCUGAGCAGGUUCACAGUGUAGAUGUAAACCAGUAUGAGCUUGGCAACCAAGUUUUAGGGCAACUUAAUGGCACUCAGCAGGUUUAGUCUCUUCUUAAGAAUUUGCAUGGAAUGGAAUUCACAUGUAUUUGUAUAGAUCUCAAUCCUUGAUGUAUAGCAAGCCCAUCUGCCAAUGUCAAUCUAUAGGUUUCCUCUGAUGUCUGACACAAUGCUGUUGAUGGGUUUAGAAUGUAUGUAUCAAACAAUCUUAUACAAUCAAUAAAGUUCACUUCAAUCCUUCCAUGA